This 468-nucleotide ribosomal RNA is filed under the name uncultured bacterium. RNAcentral describes it as "partial 16S ribosomal RNA". It matches the Rfam family "Bacterial small subunit ribosomal RNA", at positions 28 to 507 of the family's 1533-position model. The record is from RNAcentral.
GACGAACGCUGGCGGCGUGCUUAACACAUGCAAGUCGAACGGAAAGGCCCUGCUUUUGUGGGGUGCUCGAGUGGCGAACGGGCGAGUAACACGCGAGUAACCUGCCCUUGACUUUGGGAUAACUUCAGGAAACUGGGGCUAAUACCGGAUAGGAGCUCCUGCUGCAUGGUGGGGGUUGGAAAGUUUCGGCGGUUGGGGAUGGACUCGCGGCUUAUCAGCUUGUUGGUGGGGUAGUGGCUUACCAAGGCUUUGACGGGUAGCCGGCCUGAGAGGGUGACCGGCCACAUUGGGACUGAGAUACGGCCCAGACUCCUACGGGAGGCAGCAGUGGGGAAUAUUGCACAAUGGGCGGAAGCCUGAUGCAGCAACGCCGCGUGCGGGAUGACGGCCUUCGGGUUGUAAACCGCUUUCGCCUGUGACGAAGCGUGAGUGACGGUAAUGGGUAAAGAAGCACCGGCUAACUACGUG